CCAUCUAGUCAAGUUUAAUUGCAUGAGUCAAACUUGUGAUUAGAUAGGGAAUUCUAAUCAUUGCCUAUGGUUCCCACAAAGGUAAAAGAUGGGAAGUUUCCCUCAUUAUUUUGCUUAGACAAAGGAUUAAGCUGAAGGGGAACUGAUCUCUGUUGCCUAGAGAUCACUUGUCAUUCCAGGAGAUUUCCAGACACCACCUGGAGGUUGGCAGCCCUAAGAACCACUCAUUUCAUAUAUGUAUUGUUUGGCACCAGGAAUGCUGCAGAGGAAGUGAGAACAUGAACAUUCUCAGCAAGAUAUACUCCAACAGCUUUUUAAAAAAACUUCUUCAUUUACCUGACACAGAUUUCCCAACAUUCUGCAGUUUCCCCACUAGUUUCUGUGCAUCCUUAAUGCUGGUGUCUUUCUGGCUAUACAACAGCAACCGUUUGGCAUCUGAGAACAACCGGUAAACACUAUGGAAACCAGAGAAAUGAUUGGAAAGACAAUAAAGAGAGAGAAAUGUUUUAACCAUA
Molecule: long non-coding RNA, 515 nt
Organism: Heteronotia binoei (common prickly gecko)
Lineage: Eukaryota; Metazoa; Chordata; Lepidosauria; Squamata; Gekkonidae
Exons: 3
Source: RefSeq, a predicted model, not a curated record